AACGCUAGCUACAGGCUUAACACAUGCAAGUCGAGGGGCAGCAUUUUUAUAGCAAUAUAAAAGAUGGCGACCGGCGCACGGGUGAGUAACACGUAUCCAACCUGCCGAUAACUCGGGGAUAACCCUUCGAAAGAAGGCCUAAUACCCGAUGGCAUAUCCCUUCCGCCUGGUUGGGAUAUUAAAGAACUUCGGUUAUCGAUGGGGAUGCGUUCCAUUAGCUUGUUGGCGGGGUAACGGCCCACCAAGGCUUCGAUGGAUAGGGGUUCUGAGAGGAAGGUCCCCCACAUUGGAACUGAGACACGGUCCAAACUCCUACGGGAGGCAGCAGUGAGGAAUAUUGGUCAAUGGACGAGAGUCUGAACCAGCCAAGUAGCGUGAAGGAUGAAGGUCCUAUGGAUUGUAAACUUCUUUUAUACGGGAAUAAAGUGCAGUAUGCAUACUGUUUUGUAUGUACCGUAUGAAUAAGGAUCGGCUAACUCCGUGCCAGCAGCCGCGGUAAUACGGAGGAUCCGAGCGUUAUCCGGAUUUAUUGGGUUUAAAGGGAGCGUAGGCGGAGGCUUAAGUCAGUUGUGAAAGUUUGCGGCUCAACCGUAAAAUUGCAGUUGAUACUGGGCCUCUUGAGUACAGUAGAGGCAGGCGGAAUUCGUGGUGUAGCGGUGAAAUGCUUAGAUAUCACGAAGAACUCCGAUUG
This 691-nucleotide ribosomal RNA is filed under the name uncultured bacterium. RNAcentral's name for it is "bacterial SSU rRNA". It matches the Rfam family "Bacterial small subunit ribosomal RNA", at positions 32 to 715 of the family's 1533-position model. The record is from RNAcentral.